Molecule: long non-coding RNA, 324 nt
Organism: Xenia sp. Carnegie-2017
Lineage: Eukaryota; Metazoa; Cnidaria; Anthozoa; Malacalcyonacea; Xeniidae
Exons: 2
Source: RefSeq, a predicted model, not a curated record
GAUAACAGAUGGUGAACCAAAUGGAAGGAAAAAAGGCGUUGAAUUAAAGGACGCUUACAAAUAUUCAAGAUCAAUGAAAGACAAAGGCAUUCUUAUUGUUGGUGUUGCUGUUGGCUGGCCAUCUAUGGUGAAAGAGAUUAAGCCAGUCAUUAAAAAAAUAUCAACUUCAGAAAAGACAACUUUUGACACAGAAGUUGAUUCUCUGAACGAAAUACUGAACAAAAUUGUUGAUCCCUUCUGUACUACUUUUAUACCAGGUUUGUAUCAAUUUACAGUUUUGUUGUUGUUGAAGUCUUAUCGUCAUUAAAUGAAGUCAUCAAAUGA